This 455-nucleotide ribosomal RNA is filed under the name uncultured bacterium. RNAcentral's name for it is "bacterial SSU rRNA". It matches the Rfam family "Bacterial small subunit ribosomal RNA", at positions 340 to 786 of the family's 1533-position model. The record is from RNAcentral.
UACGGGAGGCAGCAGUAGGGAAUCUUCCGCAAUGGACGAAAGUCUGACGGGGCAACGCCGCGUGAACGAUGAAGGCUUUCGGGUCGUAAAGUUCUGUUGUUAGGGAAGAACAAGUACCAGAGUAACUGCUGGUACCUUGACGGUACCUAACCAGAAAGCCACGGCUAACUACGUGCCAGCAGCCGCGGUAAUACGUAGGUGGCAAGCGUUGUCCGGAAUUAUUGGGCGUAAAGCGCGCGCAGGUGGUUCCUUAAGUCUGAUGUGAAAGCCUACGGCUCAACCGUGGAGGGUCAUUGGAAACUGGGGACUUGAGUGCAGAAGAGGAAAGUGGAAUUCCACGUGUAGCGGUGAAAUGCGUAGAGAUGUGGAGGAACACCAGUGGCGAAGGCGACUUUUCUGGUCUGUAACUGACACUGAGGCGCGAAAGCGUGGGGAGCGAACAGGGAUUAGAUACC